This 729-nucleotide long non-coding RNA is filed under the name Phascolarctos cinereus (koala). RNAcentral describes it as "lncRNA (ENSPCIG00000027227.2)". The record is from RNAcentral. Lineage: Eukaryota; Metazoa; Chordata; Mammalia; Diprotodontia; Phascolarctidae.
GGUGGGGGUGGGGAGGGAGGGCCGGGGUGCUGAUGUCUGUCCUGGGGCCUUCGAGCCCCUUUCCGGGGUUCACUCUCUUGUCAGAAGGAUGUCUGAGAGGCGAGAGGCAGAGGGACUGAAGCUGCCGAAACCAUCACAUGAAGUGGAGACUUCAUCCCAGUCUGCCCAGAGGAACCAUCAGGACCCAGAGACGCCAAUAACAGAUUUGUCCUUGCCCUACUUUUCAAUCUUCCCAACUUUUUGAAACUACAAAACCACAGAAAUAUCCCUGAGUCUCUGCCAAUUCCAGAACUGACUGAAAGGAGGACAAAUGGGUCAGGGACUAUGAAAAAGAAUAUUCAGUCUAACCUGAGUCCAGUUGGGAGACCAUUAAUGAGAGCUUCUCUUCAAACUCCUUUUCUCAUUAUUCUUAUGCGUCCUUAUUAUCCAACAUGGAAAACUGACCAGUCAGAAGCAUCUCUUAUACCUGGGAUGAAAAUCUAAAAGCAGUGGUCGUUCCUUGGGAGAUUGAAACUUGAUCAGAGUCAGUCCAGAAGAGAAAUAAUUUGUGAUAUGCAAUUUGUGUCAGAGGUGGAUAACACCAUGCAAUAGAUUCUCUUACCCAAAGUGUAUCUACCAUUUGUCUGCUUACAGAGACUACCCAGAACCCUCUGGGAGAAUGGAAGAAGUGGAAGCACUGAGAUUCUCAAGGGAGACUCAAUAAAAAGUAAGACCUAAAACUCCCUUACA